Non-coding RNA from Arvicanthis niloticus (Nile rat), 1026 nucleotides. The record is from the annotation of a RefSeq genome assembly. NCBI's taxonomy places the organism in Eukaryota, Metazoa, Chordata, Mammalia, Rodentia, Muridae.
AUGCUGCUGCUGAGAGGAUUCACCUUCUCCUGCCUCUGGGUUUUUGGGCUUGGGCAGUUGGAGCAACCUGAAAUAUCAGUCACCAGAGCAACAGAUGGGAGUGCCCAAAUAUCCUGUAUAGUUUCUAUUCCAGAAUUCGACAACACACAUAUAUAUUGGUAUCGGCAGAAAACAAAUCAACAGAUUGAGUAUCUAAUAUAUGUCAGGACAAACUACAAUCAACGCCCCCUAGAUGGACAGAACAAGAAAAUUGAAGCAAGUAAAAAUUUUCAAACUUCUACUUCAACCUUGAAAUUAAAUUACUUGAAGAAAGAAGAUGAAGCUACCUACUACUGUGCACUCUGGAUAAACACAACAUGGGUCAAGAUAUUUGCCAAAGGGACAAAGCUCAUAGUAAUUCCCUCAGACAAACGCUUGGAUGCAGACAUUUCUCCCAAGCCUACUAUGUUUCUUCCUUUGGUUGCUGAAACUACUCUCCAUAAGGGUGGGACAUACCUUUGUCUCCUUCAGAAUUUCUUUCCUGACAUUAUCAGGGUAUAUUGGAAAGAAAAGGAUGACGAUAAGAUUCUGGAAUCUCAGGAGGGAACCACCAUGAAAACUAAUGACAGAUACAUGAAAUUAAGUUGGCUGACGGUGCCAGAAGAUUCAGUGACUAAAGAACAUACUUGUAAUGUCAAACACGAAAACAAUAAAAGAGGAGUUGACCAAGAGAUUUUGUUUCCUCCAAUAGAUAAAGUUGCCAACAUCAUUGCUCCCACAGAAGCUGCUUUGAAGACUGAGAAUGUUUUCACACCUAUUCAUGUUAAUCCCAGAGAGAGUGUUUUCAGACCUGAAAGUGUUAACAGUGCUACUGAUCGGGACGCUUGCUUGAGAGGAAGAAAGGAGAUGCUGCAGCUUCAGGUCACCACCACCUCUGUAUUCUACACCUACCUCAUCCUGUUCUUUAAGAGUGUGGUCCACUUGGCCUUUGUUGUAUGCUGUCUGUUUAGAAGAACAUCCGUGCCUUGUGAUGGUCAACGUUCAUAA